RNAcentral lists this ribosomal RNA (227 nucleotides) under uncultured beta proteobacterium. Its description in RNAcentral is "partial 16S ribosomal RNA". It matches the Rfam family "Bacterial small subunit ribosomal RNA", at positions 980 to 1211 of the family's 1533-position model. Lineage: Bacteria; Pseudomonadati; Pseudomonadota; Betaproteobacteria. The record is from RNAcentral.
CUUGACAUGUCAGGAAUCCUGGAGAGAUCCGGGAGUGCCCGAAAGGGAGCCUGAACACAGGUGCUGCAUGGCUGUCGUCAGCUCGUGUCGUGAGAUGUUGGGUUAAGUCCCGCAACGAGCGCAACCCUUGUCAUUAGUUGCUACGAAAGGGCACUCUAAUGAGACUGCCGGUGACAAACCGGAGGAAGGUGGGGAUGACGUCAAGUCCUCAUGGCCCUUAUGGGUAG